RNAcentral lists this long non-coding RNA (321 nucleotides) under Brassica rapa (field mustard). RNAcentral describes it as "long non-coding RNA (BRAP_LNC008380)". Lineage: Eukaryota; Viridiplantae; Streptophyta; Magnoliopsida; Brassicales; Brassicaceae. The record is from RNAcentral.
UCACGUCUGGUUCUGGUUCGUGACUGAGUUGGACGGCCCUGAAGUUCAUCAAGCCUCUGACGGAUCGCCUCCAAACCUGUAUUCAACAAGUUAGACAUAGAAUCAUUGAAAGCACAUAUUUGCAAGUUAGAUAAUCCGGCAUAUGAAUUUCCGGGUCGGUUUCUUUCUUCUUCACUAUCCAUGGUUACCUGAAAACUUAAACAAGGUAAAGUUAGAUUAAAAACCACACACACUCAGGUGUUUAUCCUCACCCACACACGUGUUUCACUCAAUUUUUGUUGGUAAUCACACAAGAGAGUUCCUCCCAAAGUUCUAACAGAG